ACGGUGAAGCCCAGCUUGCUGGGUGGAUCAGUGGCGAACGGGUGAGUAACACGUGAGCAACCUGCCCCUGACUCUGGGAUAAGCGCUGGAAACGGCGUCUAAUACUGGAUACGAGACGUGAUCGCAUGGUCAACGUUUGGAAAGAUUUUUCGGUUGGGGAUGGGCUCGCGGCCUAUCAGCUUGUUGGUGAGGUAAUGGCUCACCAAGGCGUCGACGGGUAGCCGGCCUGAGAGGGUGACCGGCCACACUGGGACUGAGACACGGCCCAGACUCCUACGGGAGGCAGCAGUGGGGAAUAUUGCACAAUGGGCGCAAGCCUGAUGCAGCAACGCCGCGUGAGGGAUGACGGCCUUCGGGUUGUAAACCUCUUUUAGCAGGGAAGAAGCGAGAGUGACGGUACCUGCAGAAAAAGCACCGGCUAACUACGUGCCAGCAGCCGCGGUAAUACGUAGGGUGCAAGCGUUAUCCGGAAUUAUUGGGCGUAAAGAGCUCGUAGGCGGUUUGUCGCGUCUGCUGUGAAAUCUGGGGGCUCAACCCCCAGCCUGCAGUGGGUACGGGCAGACUAGAGUGCGGUAGGGGAGAUUGGAAUUCCUGGUGUAGCGGUGGAAUGCGCAGAUAUCAGGAGGAACACCGAUGGCGAAGGCAGAUCUCUGGGCCGUAACUGACGCUGAGGAGCGAAAGGGUGGGGAGCAAACAGGCUUAGAUACCCUGGUAGUCCACCCCGUAAACGUUGGGAACUAGUUGUGGGGUCCAUUCCACGGAUUCCGUGACGCAGCUAACGCAUUAAGUUCCCCGCCUGGGGAGUACGGCCGCAAGGCUAAAACUCAAAGGAAUUGACCGGGACCCGCACAAGCGGCCGAGCAUGCGGAUUAAUUCAAUGCAACGCGAAGUACCUUACCAAGGCUUGACUAUACGAGACCGGGCUGAAAUGGUCCAUCUCUUUGACACUCGUAAACAGUGGUCGCAUGUCUGCCGUCGUCUGUGUCGUGAGAUGCUCGGGUUAGUCCCGCACGUAUCUCAUCCUCGUUCUAUGUAGCCAGCACGUUAUUGGUGUAACUCAUGGGAU
This 1066-nucleotide ribosomal RNA is filed under the name Microbacterium sp. C3W-23. RNAcentral describes it as "bacterial SSU rRNA". It matches the Rfam family "Bacterial small subunit ribosomal RNA", at positions 66 to 1147 of the family's 1533-position model. The record is from RNAcentral. Lineage: Bacteria; Bacillati; Actinomycetota; Actinomycetes; Micrococcales; Microbacteriaceae.